GCCCGCGUAACUUAGUGGUAGAGUGUUGUACUUAUGUGGAUACCUGAUGCAAAAGUCGGCGGUUCGACCCCGCCCGUGGGCA
RNAcentral lists this transfer RNA (82 nucleotides) under Schizophyllum commune. Its description in RNAcentral is "tRNA-Ile". It matches the Rfam family "tRNA". Rfam says of the family: Transfer RNA (tRNA) molecules are approximately 80 nucleotides in length. The record is from RNAcentral. RNAcentral also lists the same sequence under 2 other names. Lineage: Eukaryota; Fungi; Basidiomycota; Agaricomycetes; Agaricales; Schizophyllaceae.